Molecule: ribosomal RNA, 429 nt
Filed under: Bacteroidota bacterium
Lineage: Bacteria; Pseudomonadati; Bacteroidota
Description: Bacteroidetes bacterium partial 16S ribosomal RNA
Rfam family: Bacterial small subunit ribosomal RNA
Source: RNAcentral
UAGGGAAUCUUCCGCAAUGGACGCAAGACUGACGGAGCAACGCCGCGUGAGUGAAGAAGGAUUUCGGUUCGUAAAACUCUGUUGUUAGAGAAGAACAGCGCAUAGAGUAACUGUUAUGCGUGUGACGGUAUCUAACCAGAAAGCCACGGCUAACUACGUGCUAGCAGCCGCGGUAAUACGUAGGUGGCAAGCGUUGUCCGGAUUUAUUGGGCGUAAAGCGAGCGCAGGCGGUCAAUUAAGUCUGAUGUGAAAGCCCCCGGCUCCACCGGGGAGGGUCAUUGGAAACUGGUUGACUUGAGUGCAGAAGAGGAGAGUGGAAUUCCAUGUGUAGCGGUGAAAUGCGUAGAUAUAUGGAGGACCACCAGUGACGAAGGCGACUCUCUGGUCUGUAACUGACGCUGAGGCUCGAAAGCGUGGGUAGCAAACAGG